AGAGUUUGAUCAUGGCUCAGGACGAACGCUGGCGGCGUGCUUAACACAUGCAAGUCGAACGGAAAGGCCCCUUCGGGGGUACUCGAGUGGCGAACGGGUGAGUAACACGUGGGUGAUCUGCCCUGCACUUUGGGAUAAGCCUGGGAAACUGGGUCUAAUACCGAAUAGGACCGCAUGCUUCAUGGUGUGUGGUGGAAAGCUUUUGCGGUGUGGGAUGGGCCCGCGGCCUAUCAGCUUGUUGGUGGGGUAAUGGCCUACCAAGGCGACGACGGGUAGCCGGCCUGAGAGGGUGUCCGGCCACACUGGGACUGAGAUACGGCCCAGACUCCUACGGGAGGCAGCAGUGGGGAAUAUUGCACAAUGGGCGCAAGCCUGAUGCAGCGACGCCGCGUGGGGGAUGACGGCCUUCGGGUUGUAAACCUCUUUCAAUAGGGACGAAGCGAAAGUGACGGUACCUACAGAAGAAGGACCGGCCAACUACGUGCCAGCAGCCGCGGUAAUACGUAGGGUCCGAGCGUUGUCCGGAAUUACUGGGCGUAAAGAGCUCGUAGGUGGUUUGUCGCGUUGUUCGUGAAAACUCACAGCUUAACUGUGGGCGUGCGGGCGAUACGGGCAGACUAGAGUACUGCAGGGGAGACUGGAAUUCCUGGUGUAGCGGUGGAAUGCGCAGAUAUCAGGAGGAACACCGGUGGCGAAGGCGGGUCUCUGGGCAGUAACUGACGCUGAGGAGCGAAAGCGUGGGGAGCGAACAGGAUUAGAUACCCCGGUAGUCCAA
Molecule: ribosomal RNA, 775 nt
Filed under: uncultured bacterium
Lineage: Bacteria
Description: bacterial SSU rRNA
Rfam family: Bacterial small subunit ribosomal RNA
Source: RNAcentral